Molecule: ribosomal RNA, 329 nt
Filed under: uncultured eukaryote
Lineage: Eukaryota
Description: partial 18S ribosomal RNA
Rfam family: Eukaryotic small subunit ribosomal RNA
Source: RNAcentral
CCCUUAGAUGUUCUGGGCCGCACGCGCGCUACACUGACUGGUGCAACAAGUGUCUGACCUUGGCUCGAGAGGCCUGGGCAACCUUUGAACGCCAGUCGUGCUGGGGAUAGAUUCUUGCAAUUAUUAAUCUUCAACGAGGAAUGCCUAGUAAGCGCAAGUCAUCAGCUUGCGUUGAUUACGUCCCUGCCCUUUGUACACACCGCCCGUCGCUCCUACCGAUUGAAUGGUCCGGUGAAGCGUUCGGACCGUGGCCUUUGGACGGUUCGCCGUCUGUUGGCUGCGGGAAGUUCGUUAAACCUUAUCAUUUAGAGGAAGGAGAANUCGUANCA